UGUCUACAGCUGAGAGUGAAGCGGAA
RNAcentral lists this non-coding RNA (26 nucleotides) under Homo sapiens (human). Lineage: Eukaryota; Metazoa; Chordata; Mammalia; Primates; Hominidae. The record is from RNAcentral.